CAGCGGAGCGUGUGGUUAAUUCGAUGCUACACGAAGACCUUACCAGGGUUUGACAUGCAAGUGGUAGGAAUCUGAAAAGGGACCGGACCUUCGGGGAGGCUUGCACAGGUGCUGCAUGGCUGUCGUCAGCUCGUGUCGUGAGAUGUUCGGUUAAGUCCGCUAACGAGCGCAACCCUCACUGUGUGUUAUAUGUGUCACACGGGACUGCCGGUUUUAAGCCGGAGGAAGGUGGGGAUGACGUCAAGUCAGCAUGGCCUUUAUAUCCUGGGCUACACACACGCUACAAUGGUCGGUACAAUAGGUUGCCAAGCCGCGAGGCGGAGCCAAUCCACAAAGCCGGCCUCAGUUCAGAUUGUAGGCUGCAACUCGCCUGCAUGAAGAUGGAGUUGCUAGUAACCGCAGGUCAGCAAUACUGCGGUGAAUACGUUCCCGGGUCUU
This 438-nucleotide ribosomal RNA is filed under the name uncultured Anaerolineaceae bacterium. RNAcentral describes it as "bacterial SSU rRNA". It matches the Rfam family "Bacterial small subunit ribosomal RNA", at positions 930 to 1382 of the family's 1533-position model. The record is from RNAcentral. Lineage: Bacteria; Bacillati; Chloroflexota; Anaerolineae; Anaerolineales; Anaerolineaceae.